RNAcentral lists this ribosomal RNA (274 nucleotides) under uncultured bacterium. RNAcentral's name for it is "partial 16S ribosomal RNA". It matches the Rfam family "Bacterial small subunit ribosomal RNA", at positions 523 to 796 of the family's 1533-position model. The record is from RNAcentral.
AUACUGAGGGUGCAAGCGUUAAUCGGAAUUACUGGGCGUAAAGCGCGCGUAGGCGGUUAAAUAAGUCAGAUGUGAAAUCCCUGGGCUCGACCUAGGAACUGCAUCUGAAACUGUUUAACUAGAGUUUUGGAGAGGUAAGUGGAAUUUCCGGUGUAGCGGUGAAAUGCAUAGAGAUCGGAAGGAACACCAGUGGCGAAGGCGACUUACUGGCCAAAAACUGACGCUGAGGUGCGAAAGCGUGGGUAGCGAACAGGAUUAGAAACCCUAGUAGUCC